RNAcentral lists this ribosomal RNA (253 nucleotides) under uncultured bacterium. RNAcentral describes it as "partial 16S ribosomal RNA". It matches the Rfam family "Bacterial small subunit ribosomal RNA", at positions 524 to 776 of the family's 1533-position model. The record is from RNAcentral.
UACGUAGGGUGCAAGCGUUAAUCGGAAUUACUGGGCGUAAAGCGUGCGCAGGCGGUUUUGUAAGUCUGAUGUGAAAUCCCCGGGCUCAACCUGGGAACUGCAUCUGUGACUGCAUCGCUGGAGUGCGGCAGAGGGGGAUGGAAUUCCGCGUGUAGCAGUGAAAUGCGUAGAUAUGCGGAGGAACACCGAUGGCGAAGGCAAUCCCCUGGGCCUGCACUGACGCUCAUGCACGAAAGCGUGGGGAGCAAACAGG